RNAcentral lists this microRNA (22 nucleotides) under Ascaris suum (pig roundworm). Its description in RNAcentral is "asu-miR-36b-3p". Its record names the gene asu-miR-36b-3p. Lineage: Eukaryota; Metazoa; Nematoda; Chromadorea; Rhabditida; Ascarididae. The record is from miRBase by way of RNAcentral.
UCACCGGGUGAACAUUCAUUAU